This 1198-nucleotide long non-coding RNA is filed under the name Anas platyrhynchos platyrhynchos (common mallard). RNAcentral describes it as "lncRNA (ENSAPLG00000016538.1)". Lineage: Eukaryota; Metazoa; Chordata; Aves; Anseriformes; Anatidae. The record is from RNAcentral.
UAUCCCCGGAUCCCCCCAAAGCUCCGGAUCCCAAACCCAAAGUACCCCACAGCCCUGGAUCCCAAACCCAGAUCCCCCCACAGCCCUAGAUCCCAGCCCUGGAUCCCCCCAUAGCUCCAGAUCCCAGCCCCAGAUCCCCCCACAACCCCCAAUCCCAGCCCCAGGUCCCCCCAAAGCCCCAGAUCCCAGCCCCAGAUCCCCCUACAGCCCCCACUUCCAGCCCCAAAUCCCCCCAUAGCUUCAGAUCCCAACCCCAGAUCCCCCCACAACCCCCAAUCCCAGCCCCAGAUUCCCCCAAAGCUCCAGAUCCCAGCCCCACCCCCCCCUGACCCCCGUGGGCCCCAGUCUGGAACCUCAGACCAUACAGGGACCCCCAGGGACCCCCGGGGACCCCAUACACGGACCCCCAAGCCCUCCCCGGGCCCCCAGACCCGCCGUACCGCAGCCCCCAGGCCCCCCUGCCCCUUACCGGCCGCGGGCGCCUCCCCUCCGCCCGCCCCCUCCUCCCGGCCCUGCCCCGGGGCCGCCCCCCGGGCCCCUCACUGCGCAUGCGCGGGGCGGGGAGCGGGGGGCGUGGAGCGGCGGCGGGGAGGGGGGAAAGGCUUCCGCGCACGUGACCGGGCCCCGCUCCUCCGCCCGCGGAUUGGAGGGGAGGGGGGUCACGUGGGAGGGAGGGGGCGGGGCCACAGCGCCACGCCGGGUGGGAGGGGGGAGGAGAGUGAGGAGCUGUGCGCAUGCGCAGAGGGAGGCGGCGCAGGUAGGGGCGGGGGGGGCCCAAACAGGGAGCCCCCCACAGCCCGGAUCCCAAACCCAGAUCCCAAACCCAGCCCCAGAUCCCAGCCCCGGAUCCCCCCCACAGCCCCAGAUCCCAGCCCCAAAUCCCCCCCCAGCCCCCGAUCCUAUCCCCGGAUCCCCCCAAAGCUCCGGAUCCCAAACCCAAAGUACCCCACAGCCCUGGAUCCCAAACCCAGAUCCCCCCACAGCCCUAGAUCCCAGCCCUGGAUCCCCCCAUAGCUCCAGAUCCCAGCCCCAGAUCCCCCCACAACCCCCAAUCCCAGCCCCAGGUCCCCCCAAAGCCCCAGAUCCCAGCCCCAGAUCCCCCUACAGCCCCCACUUCCAGCCCCAAAUCCCCCCAUAGCUUCAGAUCCCAACCCCAGAUCCCCCCACAACCCCCAAUCCCAGCCCCAGAUUCCCCCAA